This 506-nucleotide ribosomal RNA is filed under the name uncultured bacterium. RNAcentral's name for it is "bacterial SSU rRNA". It matches the Rfam family "Bacterial small subunit ribosomal RNA", at positions 9 to 526 of the family's 1533-position model. The record is from RNAcentral.
GAGUUUGAUCCUGGCUCAGGACGAACGCUGGCGGCGCGCCUAACACAUGCAAGUCGAACGGAGCUGAGAGAAGCUUGCUUUUCUUAGCUUAGUGGCGAACGGGUGAGUAACGCGUGAGUAACCUGCCCUGGAGUGGGGGACAACAGUUGGAAACGACUGCUAAUACCGCAUAAGCCCACGAUCCGGCAUCGGAUUGAGGGAAAAGGAUUUAUUCGCUUCAGGAUGGACUCGCGUCCAAUUAGCUAGUUGGCAGGGCAGCGGCCUACCAAGGCGACGAUCCAUAGCCGGCCUGAGAGGGUGAACGGCCACAUUGGGACUGAGACACGGCCCAGACUCCUACGGGAGGCAGCAGUGGGGAAUAUUGCACAAUGGGGGAAACCCUGAUGCAGCGACGCCGCGUGAAGGAAGAAGUAUCUCGGUAUGUAAACUUCUAUCAGCAGGGAAGAUAAUGACGGUACCUGACUAAGAAGCCCCGGCUAACUACGUGCCAGCCGCCGCGGUAAUAC